RNAcentral lists this ribosomal RNA (292 nucleotides) under uncultured bacterium. RNAcentral describes it as "partial 16S ribosomal RNA". It matches the Rfam family "Bacterial small subunit ribosomal RNA", at positions 505 to 796 of the family's 1533-position model. The record is from RNAcentral.
GUGUCAGCAGCCGCGGUAAUACGGAGGAUGCAAGCGUUAUCCGGAUUUAUUGGGUUUAAAGGGUGCGUAGGCGGGACAAUAAGUCAGUGGUGAAAUCCUGCGGCUUAACCGUAGAAUUGCCAUUGAUACUGUUGUUCUUGAGUACAGUUGAGGUGGGCGGAAUGUGUAAUGUAGCGGUGAAAUGCUUAGAUAUUACACAGAACACCGAUUGCGAAGGCAGCUCACUAAGCUGUUACUGACGCUGAGGCACGAAAGCGUGGGGAGCAAACAGGAUUAGAAACCCCCGUAGUCC